This 5119-nucleotide long non-coding RNA is filed under the name Xyrichtys novacula (pearly razorfish). Lineage: Eukaryota; Metazoa; Chordata; Actinopteri; Labriformes; Labridae. The record is from RNAcentral.
UCGAAAAUAUCCCAGUUUCUUCAAUAACGUUAAACUGUUCAUAAUCUCCGACAUUCUAAGCAGCACCUGAACGCAGCAGCCCUGUCCUCUCCUCCGCCUGUCCAUCCAUCUACUAUCGUGUGUACGUGUGUGUGUAUGUGUGUGAGUGGACUGAAGCGUCAUUCUCCUCCUUUCUUCCCGUCAGUGAACGCGCAUCACUUCACAAUUACGGCGCUCGGAGACUCAGAACUUUCUUGUCAGCUCGGCUCGGCUCGGUUUGUUCCGCUCCGCUCCGCUCUCUCCCACGUUUACUCUUCCCGUUUUUUUCCUCCCGGUUUCAUUUUGAACCUCACUUUCUUUCUCCUGACUCGAGGUGGCUUCAGUCGGAUCUGCUAACACAGGGCGUAGCUGGAGAGGAUUUUUGCUAGCACGCCGCUGCUUUGACUGGUAAGGGUGAGAUUGUUUUAGCUUUAGCGUUCAUGCUAACAUCAGUUUGCAGCUAAUUAACGUUGCUUUUAAAAAAGUAAUCGUUAUAACCGUUCCAGCCGUUGGAGUCUCUGUUGUACUUACGCUGUUAGGACAAACCCUACUCUUAACACUGAAUAGUACAUCUUAAUUAUCAUUUUAAGUGCCAAUGAAUCUUUCUGUUGCGUUCAAAAAAAUGUCUGAAAUGUUUUGUUUUUGUGUCACAUCGUGUUUUUGUCCAUAAAUGGCUCUUUUUCAAGUCUCAAUUUGAUUCCUUUACAAAAAAAGGGGGCUGAUAGGGGCGGUGGCAGGCAGCAUGGUAGCUUCAAGUGCUUUACAGACCUGUUAGGCUAACACAAACCAGAGAAAUUGCCCUAAAUCCAUGCUUGUUCUCAUUUCCAGAACAUGAUACCUCUUUGUGUGAGCCUUUUCCCCCUGCUUUCUCCCUCCCUCAACUUUUUUUUUUCCUCGUUAUCUCCCCUCCUUCUCCAUCCUCCAUCGCGGAUGCCCAUUGUUCUGUAGUGGGCCAAGUGCUGAGAAAUGUUUCAUUCGCCUCAGGGGGGAAGAACCGGCAAAUUAAGCCUUAAUAAUUGUGCAGAUGCCCAGUAUGAUUUCACGUCUAAACAGAAGAACUGAGGGCCAUUUGUGGCAUGCUGAAGCUAUAAUUUCCACAGAUCCUGGAGGGAGUUUGUGGAGCUGAGAAGUCUUCUCAGGGUGAUUGUGCACAGACUCAAGCUGGCAUAUAAUCAGAGGUGAUUAAUGUUACCCUCAAAAGUGAUCAGCUAUUGUGGUGUGAGAGUUAAAGCUGGAGGCGCCUGUAGCUGCUCCUUCAGUGACUCUGUUUGGUGGGUGAGUGAGUGCAAUAAGACAGAUUACACUCCCCUCUGUAGAACAAUAGAGAGGAGAAACACAGCCAGUUCUCAAAGCCUGCCCGAGAGCAUUUAAUAAACUGCAAACAUGCAAGCAUUGAAAAUCUUUAUCCUGAGGCCACAGCUCCUUUCUCCUCCCCCGAAGGUGCCUUGGAUGGCGGCACAAAUGUCUGUCUUUGUGGCCACAGCAGGCAUGUGUCCGUCAAUAAUGUGUGACCAUCAACCAUGAGGAAUUGAUUUUUUUUUCUCUAAGAAAAUGGCAUCCCCCGGGUGACUAAUAUGAGCCCUUUUUUAGGCUCGGCCAUGCGAGGCUCUGAGACUCUCCAGGACUCUUAAGUCAGAGGUGGGCUAAGCCAUCAGCCAGUCUGCCUCCUCCGUGCGCAUGGAUGAGAGAAUGGCUGACUCACAGUGUUGGUGGAUGAGGCAGGAAAAUGGAGGCGGUCUAAUGCAAUCAAAUGAAAUUAAAUUUGGCUACCAUUAAAAAGCAAGAUCUGUUUUCAUUAAGUGAUUUAAGAUGCUCCUAAAAAGAUUAUUGGUUUGGAUGAUGUGGAUUACUGCCUGAGGGGAAUUUGUGUGGUGAGGGGAUUUGUCAGGAACCACGCUUGAAUAAAUGAAGCAGAUUAUUUUAAUUGAGAAAAAAUUAUGUGUAGAAAGUGGGUCAGAUCUUGUCCUUCCUGUUCAGGAUUGGACCUCAGUUGAAUUUUUUCUUUGUCUUUGUUGCUGUGCCUUUGAAAGGGUGUAUCACAGUAUUCUGUAACCAGCAGAUCUGUUGAGCCAGUCAGAGUCAGGGAGGUGAGUUUCAUCAGUGUGAGCCACCUGCAGAAACAAUGAGAGCUUGAUGUCGGUGUCUGAUACAAUCCUCCAUUUGAUGAUUUACUCUAGGAAAUAUUGUUUUUAAUACCACAGUGAUCAUCAAUUGAUCUAGUUGCAAAAAAAUAAUCAUGCUCAAAUGAUCUCAGCCUACAUAUUCAGAAACACUAAAAUAUUUGUGUUGACUUAAGGACUGUUGGUGUUAAAGGGUUAAUCAUGAUGCGAUCCUUCAGCCAUGACUAUAAUGGAUGACUAACAUAAUGGUGCUUUUGAAUGGCUCAAUACCCAUUAUAAACGCUAAGAUGUCUUAGCUGACAAGUCAAAGGUGAAAUGCUCUUUUUGACAAACAGAAUUAGUGAUAUCAUUGAAGUAGCUCGGGUUUGAACUGCCAGGUACAGGUACAGGUUUUUCAUCAGACUGAGAUGACUGAUUUCAGUGGGCAACCACACCUCAAAAAGCUUUGGAGUGUGCGAAUUUCAACAGAUCAGAACUUAAAAUGAAAAAAAAACAAAAAACAGCAAAUGCAGCUAAACUAGAACUCCUGAAGAGUGCUGUUGUUUUAAUCAGGGGUCAGUGGACAUCAGUGAGUCAUCAAAAUUAUUGACUGAUCAGACACAUGAAAUUUUUGGGAUCAUACCAAAUAUUAAAUGUUUUUAGCAUUCAUAGAAUGGACAGCAUCUGCCUCCUUGCUGAGUAAAGCCACUCUAAGAACAGCACCCUCUGGUGACAGGCUGCAGUAUAGGUCAUAAAUCCGGCCUCCGCCCGCAAAGCUUAUGGAGCUGAGGACAAACUUUAGAAAUUACGAAAUAUUCAGAGGAGAAUUUUGAUGCGCCUGACUCUACACAUCAAGGGGGACGCAUCCCGGGGAAGACUUUUCCCGGGGAAAGUCCCGCCUCCUUCGCCUCUGAUUCGACGCUAUGACUCCCCACAAAUUGUCCUUCAGGUCUUUAUCUUUGUAAUAUUUGUGUCUUUUAUCAAAAAGCGCUCUGUUCUUAGACACGUAAACAAUCAGCCGGUCGGCCAUGUUGGAUAUAUCGGUGAAUCAGACGUCGCAACAACAAGCAAUCUGAUUGGUCAGAAGUGGACACACAGAAUGCGAAACUUAAGAAAAAUUGACCGUGAACCGAAAAAUAAAUGCCGCAAUAUCGCAGGACAGGAAAAUGUCGCUGAUGUGAACGCUUGUCUUGACAGGAUACAGGUUCAAAAAAAGUAUUGACAUCCGAAAUAAUCGCACGACAAAAACAGUCCCGGCGUGUAAGGACCCUAAGAAUAAUCUUUUUGAUUAAGACCACCUGGUCUUUUAGAGGUGGCCUUCAUUCUUCACUGAUACUUCAUGGACACAGAGAUAAAGGAAUUAACAGGAAAACAAUUGUCAGAUAAGUAGAUAAUGAAAAUAAUGAGUCAGUGCCAAAUGCAAUUAAUUGAUAAUGAUGAUGACAGCUCUUUGUUUCAUUUGGAGCUGCACAGUCAGCAAAGCCCAAUAAUAAUAAUCAUUUUCUGGUGCGAUAACUGUUAAAAAAAACAUGAUUGACAUUUUUAAGUAUAUUGUCACACGCGUCUGUCAUAAGCCCUGUGUUUCAGAUCAAUUUAAUCUAUAAUAACCUCUUUUGCCUCCAGCUGGCCUCUCCUCUGUCUCAGACAUAAGAGUGGAGCUGAUUGUGGCUCUAAUAGACCUGUGUGUCAGCCUGUCCUUAGCCUCAGGACUGGUGUGGGGUGGCUGUGUGACUCAGAAUGAAAUCUCGCCCCAUCUCAAUUGAACUUCAUAAAUGUGACAAGGGCAGGCCUGUGCCUCUGGUCCACAGGCUUUUUUCAGUUUGAACCUUUGACCCUCUCACGUCUCUGCUCUAUUAAAAAAUUACCACCAUCAUCACAAGCCUUAAGCCACAAUCCUGGGCAACAGCAGCACAAUAGCGUCUUGUUUACAGAUUAUCCAAAACAACAGCAGUCACUUUCUGUUUCUCUGUUGUCUGGGUGAUUGAGUCUCGAAGAAACUGCCCUAGACACCGCAGUGAAGAUAAAGCAGAGAUAAACUGUGCUGUCGUCUGUGCGCCCAGUCACAGUUGUCAGGGCACGUAGUUGGCAGCUGGCGGUAUGGUUUUUGAGGCUCUGUUUGCCAGCAGCUGCAGUAAUUUGCUGUGUUUGGACACUCUGAAUUCCUUUGGUGGGAGGAUGGAUAAUGGGUAUGGUCCACAGCCGUGUUGCUAGGCUUCAACACCAAAUUUGUUUUAUGGCACAGUGUGGUAGUGCCGCCUGGUUGUUUGGUGUGACGCAGCCUUGGAGAUGGUAAAAAAACUGGGCCAAAUACAGUCACUAUCCUCUUAGACUUAAAGGAUAGCGUCAGAGUCUGAGUCACCAGAACAGCUCUACCACAUAUAACCACAGAUACUGCUGUAAACUUCUGACAGUGUAAUAAAACUAUGUUGUACUAAGAAAUCAUGAUUACAUUUGAAUUUAUAACACUGGUCAGCUGUUAUUGGCAGCUUAGCAGACAGCCUCCUCUGUCCUCUGCAUUAACAGUACAGUUUUAAACCUGACACAUGCUUUUGUUGGAGUUUUCCUAUUUCAAAAACUGAACAUUAAAUCAAUGGCAUCAGUGAACAUUAGCCGGACUAAUGGUGCGUUCACACCAAACAGGAAUAAAAUCAUUUGGCGUGUGAAUUGCAUGUCAAGUCAAUGUAAAAACUUGAUUCGAUGCGCAUUCUACUCAGGUGACGUGAAUGAGGUGGCACAAAUAGCACAAAGUGAGACGCGACAUGUAGGAACCCUUCCCCUCUUUCUCUCCUCUUUUGCAAUCACACCUGUGUUUAAAGUCCCACUCUGACAGUUUUUUUUUUUUUACUUCUUGAAAGUGUUCUCAGUGGUCUUUAAAUUGUGAUUAUGAAGUUUUUACCAAAAUUGCGCUACCUGUGUCCUUUUCAAGGGCUUUUCUCCCGCAGAGCUCCUGUAGCUCAUUAGUAAUUGGCCUCUGAGUGGUGGGCGGAGACAGCGCUGCUCUG